AUACUUACCUGGCAGGGGAGGUACCAUGAUCACGAAGGUGGUUUUCCCAGGGCAAGGCUUAUCCAUUGCACUGUGGGUGUGCUGACCCCUGAGAUUUCCCCAAAGGUGGGAAACUCGACUGCAUCAUUUGUGGUAGUGGGGGACUGCAUUCGCCCUCUCCUCUA
RNAcentral lists this small nuclear RNA (164 nucleotides) under Echinops telfairi (small Madagascar hedgehog). RNAcentral's name for it is "U1 spliceosomal RNA (ENSETEG00000022309.1)". It matches the Rfam family "U1 spliceosomal RNA". Rfam says of the family: U1 is a small nuclear RNA (snRNA) component of the spliceosome (involved in pre-mRNA splicing). Its 5' end forms complementary base pairs with the 5' splice junction, thus defining the 5' donor site of an intron. The record is from RNAcentral. Lineage: Eukaryota; Metazoa; Chordata; Mammalia; Afrosoricida; Tenrecidae.